Molecule: long non-coding RNA, 611 nt
Organism: Bos taurus (domestic cattle)
Lineage: Eukaryota; Metazoa; Chordata; Mammalia; Artiodactyla; Bovidae
Source: Ensembl
GGGUUGUAGUGGAUUGAGAGGGAGCCUGGAAUGGCCUGAAGACAAGCAGCAAAAAGGAGUCAUUAUCGCAGAGUAGGAUCAUCAUCCUCUUCAAUUCAGGAAACUAACUCACGUAGAGUGUGUCUCCACCUGGUGCCAUCAACCCACGGAGGGAACUGCCAGUUCCUGUGAUGCCCAGUGGAGGGAGCGACCCCACUGCUGCUUCUACCUGCUACAGAUUCAACUGUGACGACUGACUUCCUUCACUACAACUCCUCUGAGCAGAACACACCUAAAUAUGAAAUGAAGUGUGUGCCUGUGAUAUAAGGAAUCAGGAGGCACGCCAAAGCACAGGAAGUGUUUUUAGUGGCUGUAAGACAGCACUGGAGACGACCCAGCUGCCAUGGUGCUCUGGAGACAACUGGGAAUGAAAGUCUGUCUGGCAUCACCUGUGUCCAGCACGUGGCAGUCAUCUCCUUGCAGGGGACAGUCCCGAUCAUCCCUAACCAAUCUAGCCACAGUAGGAGGAGACAUAGUGUCUGGUCCCUGCUUUGAACGACUUCCUGAAUGAAUGAAGGACUGGGACUCAAGGUAAAUUCUCAGUCAAUAAAGCGUAGCUCUUCGUGGACCAG